Molecule: ribosomal RNA, 1512 nt
Filed under: uncultured Bordetella sp.
Lineage: Bacteria; Pseudomonadati; Pseudomonadota; Betaproteobacteria; Burkholderiales; Alcaligenaceae
Description: partial 16S-23S ribosomal RNA intergenic spacer
Rfam family: Bacterial small subunit ribosomal RNA
Source: RNAcentral
GGUUCGAUCAUGGCUCAGAUUGAACGCUGGCGGGAUGCUUUACACAUGCAAGUCGAACGGCAGCAGACGGACUUCGGUCUGGUGGCGAGUGGCGAACGGGUGAGUAAUGUAUCGGAACGUGCCCAGUAGCGGGGAUAACUACGCGAAAGCGUAGCUAUACGUAUGCCCUUCGGGGGAAAGCGGGGGACCUUCGGGCCUCGCACUAUUAGAGCGGCCGAUAUCGGAUUAGCUAGUUGGUGGGUAACGGCUCACCAAGGCGACGAUCCGUAGCUGGUUUGAGAGGACGACCAGCCACACUGGGACUGAGACACGGCCCAGAUUCUACGGGAGGCAGCAGUGGGGGAAUUUUGGACAAUGGGGGAAACCCCGAUCCAGUCAUCCCGCGUGUGCGAUGAAGGCCUUCGCUGUGGAAGCACUUUUGGCAGGAAGGCUUGGCACGGGAUAAUACCCUGUGCACCGACGGUACCUGCAGAAUAAGCACCGGCUAACUACGUGCCAGCAGCCGCGGUAAUACGUAGGGUGCAAGCGUUAAUCGGAAUUACUGGGCGUAAAGCGUGCAGGCGGUUCGGAAAAGAAAGAUGAAAUCCCAGAGCUUAACUUUGAACUGCAUUUUUAACUACCGAGCUAGAGUGUGUCAGAGGGAGGUGGAAUUUUGCGUGGCAGUGAAAUGCGUAGAUAUGUGCGGAGGAACACCGAUGGCGAAGGCAGCUUCCUGGGAUAACACUGACGCUCAUGCAUGAAAGCGUGGGGAGCAAACAGGAUUAGAUACCCCGGUAGUCCACGCCUCAAACGAUGUCAACUAGCUGUUGGGGCUUUCAAGCCUUGCAAAGAGGCUAACGCGUGAAGUUGACCGCCUGGGGAGUACGGUCGCAAGAUUAAAACUCAAAGGAAUUGAUGAUUCAAAAGCAAGCGUGAUGAUGAAUAAUUCGAUGCAACGCGAAAAACCUUACCUACCCUUGAUAUGUCUGGAAUCCUGAAGAGAUUUGGGAGUGCUCGCAAGAGAACCGGAACACAGGUGCUGCAUGGCUACGUCAGCUCGUGUCGUGAGAUGUUGGGUUAAGUCCUGGCAACGAGCGCAACCCUUGUCAUUAGUUGCUACGAAAGGACACUCUAAUGAGAUCGCUGGUGACAAACCGAGGAAGGUGGGGAUGACGUCAAGUCCUCAUGGCCCUUAUGGGUAGGGCUUACACGUCAUACAAUGGUCGGGACAGAGGGUCGCCAACCCGCGAGGGGAGCCAAUCCCAGAAACCCGAUCGUAGUCCGGGACUUCGCAGCCCGUAGCUCGACUGCGCGAAGUCGGAAUCGCUAGUAAUCGUGAUCAGCAUGUCGCGGUGAAUACGUUCCCGGGUCUUGUACACACCGCCUGUCACACCAAGGUGGAGUGUUUACUAGAAGAGUUAGUUUCCAACUCAAGAGGGCGAUUACCACGUAGGAUUCGCAUGACUGGGUGAAGUCGUAACAAGGUAACCCAGCGAUACCCGAUGCCUCCAGGAGCACACACCGAAUUCAGCG